GCUGCCUUAGCUCAGUUGGGAGAGCGCCAGACUGAAGAUCUGUAGGUCACCCGUUCGAUCCGGGUAGGUGGCA
Molecule: transfer RNA, 73 nt
Filed under: Pelagophyceae sp. CCMP2097
Lineage: Eukaryota; Pelagophyceae
Description: tRNA-Phe
Rfam family: tRNA
About the family: Transfer RNA (tRNA) molecules are approximately 80 nucleotides in length. Their secondary structure includes four short double-helical elements and three loops (D, anti-codon, and T loops). Further hydrogen bonds mediate the characteristic L-shaped molecular structure. tRNAs have two regions of fundamental functional importance: the anti-codon, which is responsible for specific mRNA codon recognition, and the 3' end, to which the tRNAs corresponding amino acid is attached (by aminoacyl-tRNA synthetases). tRNAs cope with the degeneracy of the genetic code in two manners: having more than one tRNA (with a specific anti-codon) for a particular amino acid; and 'wobble' base-pairing, i.e. permitting non-standard base-pairing at the 3rd anti-codon position.
Source: RNAcentral